RNAcentral lists this long non-coding RNA (694 nucleotides) under Phoenix dactylifera (date palm). Its description in RNAcentral is "long non-coding RNA (PDAC_LNC000587)". Lineage: Eukaryota; Viridiplantae; Streptophyta; Magnoliopsida; Arecales; Arecaceae. The record is from RNAcentral.
AUGGAAGAGUCAGCUUCUCAACGAUUAAAAUUCAGAGUCUUUCUGAUCAGGAUGAUGGAUGAUGCGCUUGUCCUCCAAUUAGCUUUUGGUAUGCAUUAGAGCCCCAAGCAAACUUUAUCGUGAGCCAGGAAGUAGUAUCAGCCCAAAAGUUUCUUUGCUAUGCAGCGUACUGUAACGGUCCUUGAUUGUGACAUCGGUUUGGUACAUCGAGUUCGAGUGGUGAUCUGAUAGGUAUUUCCAAUAUGACAGGAUUAGAAUUUUUUAAGAGGACCGAGUAAAUACCAAUUUUUUUAUGAAGUAACCACUGCCUCUUAUUGCUCCCUGCAGAUAUCAUUGGAAGGGUAGGUAACCUUAUCAUAGAUCCGGCAUUGGCAGGCAACAUACGUACUCUUUCUGAUUUGAUUGUCAACAUCAAGGCGAAAGCUGAGGAAUUGAAACCUGGAAUCAAGCAUGGGAGCUCACGUGGUUCACACUCCAUUGUUCAGAUGAUUAGAUCCGUUUUGACCUGCUAUUGUGGGUGACCUGAAAUUUCAAUGGCCAUUUUCAAGGCUGCUGCUUUUUUCUUGAUGCAUUUAUAGUGGUCAAAAGUAGAGUUUGGAUUAUAAAUGACUCGUUGAUUUACCAUAUUUUGCUAGAGUGAAUUCUCCCUCUUCAAUUCUAUGUUAUAUACUCUACUAUUUGAAUUCUCCCUUCA